UCACACACAUCCAGGUGUUUACACUGAACAGGAUCACACACACCCAGGUGUUUACACUGAACAGGAUCACACACACCCAGGUGUUUACACUGAACAGGAUCACACACACCCAGGUGUUUACACUGAACAGGAUCAAGAGACACAGGUGUUUACACUGAACAGGUGGACGUUUAGGAUCACACACCCAGGUGUUUACACUGAACAGGUGCACUUUCAGGAUCACAGAGACCCAGGUGUUUACACUGAACAGGAUCACAGAGACCCAGGUGUUUACACUGAACAGGAUCACACACACCCAGGUGUUUACACUGAACAGGAUCACAGAGACCCAGGUGUUUACACUGAACAGGAUCACAGAGACCCAGGUGUUUACACUGAACAGGAUCACACACACCCAGGUGUUUACACUGAACAGGUGGACGUUUAGGAUCAAACACACCCAGGUGUUUACACUGAACAGCUAGACUUUUAGGAUCACAGAGACCCAGGUGUUUACACUGAACAGCUGGACCUUUAGGAUCAAACACACCCAGGUGUUUACACUGAACAGCUGGAUGUUUAGGAUCACACACACCCAGGUGUUUACACUGAACAGCUGGACCUUUAGGAUCACAGAGACCCAGGUGUUUACACUGAACAGGAUCACACACACCCAGGUGUUUACACUGAACAGGAUCACACACACCCAGGUGUUUACACUGAACAGGUGCACUUUAAGGAUCACACACACCCAGGUG
This is a long non-coding RNA of Austrofundulus limnaeus, 737 nucleotides long. RefSeq lists it as uncharacterized. The record is from RefSeq and is a predicted model, not a curated record. The transcript is spliced from 3 exons. NCBI's taxonomy places the organism in Eukaryota, Metazoa, Chordata, Actinopteri, Cyprinodontiformes, Rivulidae.